Dipodomys ordii (Ord's kangaroo rat) is the source of this 94-nucleotide small nuclear RNA. Its record names the gene U1. It matches the Rfam family "U1 spliceosomal RNA". Rfam says of the family: U1 is a small nuclear RNA (snRNA) component of the spliceosome (involved in pre-mRNA splicing). The record is from Ensembl. NCBI's taxonomy places the organism in Eukaryota, Metazoa, Chordata, Mammalia, Rodentia, Heteromyidae.
AUACUUACCUGGCAGGGGAGAUACCAUGAUCACGAAGGUGGUUUUCCCAGGGCGAGGCUUAUCCAUUGCACUCCGGAUGUGCUGACCCCUGCGA